This 484-nucleotide ribosomal RNA is filed under the name uncultured bacterium. Its description in RNAcentral is "partial 16S ribosomal RNA". It matches the Rfam family "Bacterial small subunit ribosomal RNA", at positions 30 to 507 of the family's 1533-position model. The record is from RNAcentral.
AUUGAACGCUGGCGGCAGGCCUAACACAUGCAAGUCGAGCGGAUGAAGUGAGCUUGCUCCUGGAUUCAGCGGCGGACGGGUGAGUAAUGCCUAGGAAUCUGCCUGGUAGUGGGGGAUAACUUCCGGAAACGGGCGCUAAUACCUCAUACGUCCUGAGGGAGAUAGUGGGGGAUCUUCGGACCUCACGCUAUCAGUUUAGCCUAGGUCGGAUUAGCUAGUUGGUGGGGUAAAGGCCUACCAAGGCGACGAUCCGUAACUGGUCUGAGAGGAUGAUCAGUCACACUGGAACUGAGAAACGGUCCAGACUCCUACGGGAGGCAGCAGUGGGGAAUAUUGGACAAUGGGCGAAAGCCUGAUCCAGCCAGGCCGCGUGUGUGAAGAAGGGCUUCGGAUUGUAAAGCACUUUAAGUUGGGAGGAAGGGAAGUAAGUUAAUACCUUGCUGUGUUGACGUUACCAACAGAAUAAGCACCGGCUAACUUCGUG